RNAcentral lists this unclassified non-coding RNA (502 nucleotides) under Leishmania donovani. RNAcentral's name for it is "gene:unknown". Lineage: Eukaryota; Euglenozoa; Kinetoplastea; Trypanosomatida; Trypanosomatidae. The record is from RNAcentral.
GAGGAAGCGCGACUGCGUUAGUUCGUUGGUUUCGCGAUGCCUCCCUGUCUUUUCGCCACCACGCCAUCCAUCACUCGACGCACCUUGUCCCAAUCUUUCCUUUUCCGUGCGUGUGUCGCUCGUGUGUGCUGCUGCUGAGGCACGGAAAUGUGUAGGCGGAGUGGAGGUUUUGGAGAUUUGUGAUGCGAUGGUAAAGAGAAUAUGUUCGACCAGACCGCGAGAGACAAGAAUGUAAAAGAAAACGGAAAGGAAGAGGGGCAAAACACUGCCCAGCGCUGACGAGUUGCCGUACACCGCAUCGCUGUCCACCGGCUGACUCGACCGCUUAUCUUUGCUGCACGGGGCAGCUGGAGUACGCGCAGUACGCCGGCCACCGCAAGGACCCACACUGAGUGCGUUUUUUUGUACGUCAUUUCUCCUUGGAUUUGCACGCCAUCGUCGGGCAUGUGCUUUGUGUGUUUUGCUGUUCAACGCAUUCGUUUCUCUGCCACUCCAACACAAG